AUUUUGCCAUGUUGAAUUUGGCUUUUAAUGUCUUUAUCUUGUAAUAUAUUUGCAUGUACAUAAAGAGUACAAGGUGCAUGGAUGACUAGCAGCUUCUACGGGUGGUGUGGAUGUCCAAGUAGAACAGCUCCAACCGAAAGUUGGAAGAAGCAUACUUCAAGUGGAACAAAAUGGAUGUUUCCUCUCAUGUGAUGUUGUUUGUUAUGUUCUGUUGGGUUGUGGAUUGAUGAAAAUUUGACUAUUGCAAGCUAUUAUAUGCCCAUUUAAUUUGUUACAAGUAUUAUCUAUUGUAAUGUGAAUAUCUUUUUGUUGGAUAGAAGAUGAGUUGAAG
Molecule: long non-coding RNA, 331 nt
Filed under: Hordeum vulgare
Lineage: Eukaryota; Viridiplantae; Streptophyta; Magnoliopsida; Poales; Poaceae
Description: long non-coding RNA (HVUL_LNC019553)
Source: RNAcentral